GAAUUCGCCCUUGGGGAAUUUUCCGCAAUGGGCGAAAGCCUGACGGAGCAAUACCGCGUGAGGGAGGAAGGCUCUUGGGUUGUAAACCUCUUUUCUCAGGGAAGAACAGAAUGACGGUACCUGAGGAAUAAGCAUCGGCUAACUCCGCGCCAGCAGCCGCGGUAAUACGGAGGAUGCAAGCGUUAUCCGGAAUGAUUGGGCGUAAAGGGUCCGCAGGUGGCAUUGUAAGUCUGCUGUUAAAGAGUUUGGCUCAACCAAAUAAGAGCAGUGGAAACUACAAAGCUAGAGUGUGGUCGGGGCAGAGGGAAUUCCUGGUGUAGCGGUGAAAUGCGUAGAUAUCAGGGAGAACACCAGUGGCGAAGGCGCUCUGCUAGGCCGAGACUGACACUGAGGGACGAAAGCUAGGGGAGCGAAUGGGAUUAGAUACCCCAGUAGUCCUAGCCGUAAACGAUGGAUACUAGGCGUAGCUCGUAUCGACCCGAGCUGUGCCGGAGCUAACGCGUUAAGUAUCCCGCCUGGGGAGUACGCAGGCAACUGUGAAACUCAAAGGAAUUGACGGGGGCCCGCACAAGCGGUGGAGUAUGUGGUUUAAUUCGAUGCAACGCGAAGAACCUUACCAAGGCUUGACAUGUCACGAAUCCUAUUGAAAGAUGGGAGUGCCUUCGGGAGCGUGAA
Molecule: ribosomal RNA, 675 nt
Filed under: uncultured cyanobacterium
Lineage: Bacteria; Bacillati; Cyanobacteriota
Description: bacterial SSU rRNA
Rfam family: Bacterial small subunit ribosomal RNA
Source: RNAcentral